This 486-nucleotide ribosomal RNA is filed under the name uncultured bacterium. Its description in RNAcentral is "bacterial SSU rRNA". It matches the Rfam family "Bacterial small subunit ribosomal RNA", at positions 30 to 507 of the family's 1533-position model. The record is from RNAcentral.
UUGAACGCUGGCGGCAUGCUUUACACAUGCAAGUCGAACGGCAGCACGGGUGCUUGCACCUGGUGGCGAGUGGCGAACGGGUGAGUAAUGCAUCGGAACGUGCCCAUGAGUGGGGGAUAGCCCGGCGAAAGCCGGAUUAAUACCGCAUACGCCCUUAGGGGGAAAGCGGGGGGAUCUUCGGACCUCGCGCUAUUGGAGCGGCCGAUGUCGGAUUAGCUAGUAGGUGAGGUAAAGGCUCACCUAGGCGACGAUCCGUAGCUGGUCUGAGAGGAUGAUCAGCCACACUGGGACUGAGACACGGCCCAGACUCCUACGGGAGGCAGCAGUGGGGAAUUUUGGACAAUGGGCGCAAGCCUGAUCCAGCCAUGCCGCGUGAGUGAAGAAGGCCUUCGGGUUGUAAAGCUCUUUCAGGUGGAAAGAAAUAGCGCUGUUUAAUAGAUGGCGUUGAUGACGGUACCACCAGAAGAAGCACCGGCUAACUACGUG